Long non-coding RNA from Pan troglodytes (chimpanzee), 553 nucleotides. RefSeq lists it as uncharacterized. Lineage: Eukaryota; Metazoa; Chordata; Mammalia; Primates; Hominidae. The transcript is spliced from 3 exons. The record is from RefSeq and is a predicted model, not a curated record.
GUAUGAAUUUGAAAAUCUCUUGACAGAGUUCUUCAGGGAGGCUCUUACAAUUGUGUAGCAUUGGCAGCACACACAAGAAAAUGGACCAAUCUACCAACCACAGACCAGGUGCAACCAUGGAGACCAGGACCAUAAAGUGCCUUUGUCUUGGGGUCACUUUGAGAAAACAUUGUAGAUCCAGGGGCUCUGAGCUGAAGAGGAAAAACAAUCAUAGUGUUCUAGGACUCAUUCUUGAAGCCCAGUCUCCAUACUGUGAGGAAGCCCAAAAGGCACACACUAACAGAACACGUGGAAAAGCUUCAGCCUCGUGUAGAUGUUCUGGUCAACAUCCCAGUUGAUGUCACAGCCAACAGCCUGCAUCAAGUGCCUGACACGUGAGUGAUGACACCUCCAGAUGAUUCCAGCCCCUAGCCAUUGGAUCACCCCCAGCUGUCAAAUCUUCCAGCUGAGGCCCCAGACAUUGUGGGGCAGAGACAAGCUGUUCCCAUUGUGCCCCAUCCAAAUUCCUGACCCACAGAAUGAAUGAGCAUAAAUAAAAUGGUUGUCUUAUGCC